CCUACGGGAGGCAGCAGUGAGGAAUAUUGGUCAAUGGUCGUGCGCCUGAACCAGCCAAGUCGCGUGAAGGAGGACUGCCCUAUGUGUUGUAAACCUCUUUUGUCAGGGAACAAAGCCUGGUACGUGUCCCCUGCCGUAUGUACCCUACGAACAAGGAUCGGCCAACCCCGUGCCAGCCGCCGCGGUAAUUCGGAGGAUUCGAGCGUUAAUCGGAUUUGUUGGGUUUGAAAGGUGCGUGGGGGGGCAUGUAAGUCCGGUGGUAAAAGCGGGGGGCCAACCCUCGACCUGCCGUUGAAACUGGCAGCCUUGAGUGGGGGAGAAGUAGGCGGAAUGCGUGGUGUAGCGGUGAAAUGCAUAGAUAUCACGAAGAACUCCGAUUGCGAAGGCAGCAUACUGGAUCCACACUGACGCUGAAGCACGAAAGCGUGGGUAUCGAACAGGAUUAGAUACCCGGGUAGUC
Molecule: ribosomal RNA, 460 nt
Filed under: uncultured bacterium
Lineage: Bacteria
Description: partial 16S ribosomal RNA
Rfam family: Bacterial small subunit ribosomal RNA
Source: RNAcentral